GAGUAAUUUAAUUAAUAACUGUACACGGCUUUAAACCACCGUCAAUGAAAAACGAUUCCGAGCCUCUGCUAUUAUGCGUCGUAUUUUCCCCUUGUUGCCAAGGUAACCCAGAUAUCAAAAAAAAACUAUACUGAAAAUUGCCAGUUUUCCCCAAUUAUUAAGAAAACUACAAGGAAAAUCGAAAAAUUGACCUCACCGGUAUACCGGCGACUAGAUUGUUUAAAGACACGGCAAACAA
Molecule: non-coding RNA, 238 nt
Organism: Cinara cedri
Lineage: Eukaryota; Metazoa; Arthropoda; Insecta; Hemiptera; Aphididae
Source: the annotation of a GenBank genome assembly